GAUGAACGCUGGCGGCGUGCCUAAUACAUGCAAGUCGAGCGAACAGACGAGGAGCUUGCUCCUCUGACGUUAGCGGCGGACGGGUGAGUAACACGUGGAUAACCUACCUAUAAGACUGGGAUAACUUCGGGAAACCGGAGCUAGUACCGGAUAACAUGUUGAACCGCAUGGUUCAACAGUGAAAGACGGUCUUGCUGUCACUUAUAGAUGGAUCCGCGCCGCAUUAGCUAGUUGGUAAGGUAACGGCUUACCAAGGCAACGAUGCGUAGCCGACCUGAGAGGGUGAUCGGCCACACUGGAACUGAGACACGGUCCAGACUCCUACGGGAGGCAGCAGUAGGGAAUCUUCCGCAAUGGGCGAAAGCCUGACGGAGCAACGCCGCGUGAGUGAUGAAGGUCUUCGGAUCGUAAAACUCUGUUAUUAGGGAAGAACAAAUGUGUAAGUAACUAUGCACGUCUUGACGGUACCUAAUCAGAAAGCCACGGCUAACUACGUG
This 497-nucleotide ribosomal RNA is filed under the name uncultured bacterium. Its description in RNAcentral is "partial 16S ribosomal RNA". It matches the Rfam family "Bacterial small subunit ribosomal RNA", at positions 28 to 507 of the family's 1533-position model. The record is from RNAcentral.